GGGCGUUUAGCGCAGUGGUAGCGCGUAUGCUUUGCACUAAGCAUUCAAUAUGUAUAAGGUCCAGGGUUCAAUCCCCUGAACGUCCA
Molecule: transfer RNA, 86 nt
Organism: Suillus luteus
Lineage: Eukaryota; Fungi; Basidiomycota; Agaricomycetes; Boletales; Suillaceae
Rfam family: tRNA
About the family: Transfer RNA (tRNA) molecules are approximately 80 nucleotides in length. Their secondary structure includes four short double-helical elements and three loops (D, anti-codon, and T loops). Further hydrogen bonds mediate the characteristic L-shaped molecular structure. tRNAs have two regions of fundamental functional importance: the anti-codon, which is responsible for specific mRNA codon recognition, and the 3' end, to which the tRNAs corresponding amino acid is attached (by aminoacyl-tRNA synthetases). tRNAs cope with the degeneracy of the genetic code in two manners: having more than one tRNA (with a specific anti-codon) for a particular amino acid; and 'wobble' base-pairing, i.e. permitting non-standard base-pairing at the 3rd anti-codon position.
Source: Rfam